GAUGAACGCUGGCGGCGUGCUUAACACAUGCAAGUCGAACGAAGCAUUUGCGACAGAUUUUUUCGGAAUGAAGUUGCUUAUGACUGAGUGGCGGACGGGUGAGUAACGCGUGGGUAACCUGCCUUGUACUGGGGGAUAGCAGCUGGAAACGGCUGGUAAUACCGCAUAAGCGCACAAUGUUGCAUGACAUGGUGUGAAAAACUCCGGUGGGAUAAGAUGGACCCGCGUCUGAUUAGCUAGUUGGUGAGAUAACAGCCCACCAAGGCGACGAUCAGUAGCCGACCUGGGAGGGGGACCGGCCACAUUGGGACUGAGACACGGCCCAGACUCCUACGGGAGGCAGCAGUGGGGAAUAUUGCACAAUGGAGGAAACUCUGAUGCAGCGACGCCGCGUGAGUGAAGAAGUAAUUCGUUAUGUAAAGCUCUAUCAGCAGGGAAGAUAGUGACGGUACCUGACUAAGAAGCUCCGGCUAAAUACGUG
Molecule: ribosomal RNA, 481 nt
Filed under: uncultured bacterium
Lineage: Bacteria
Description: partial 16S ribosomal RNA
Rfam family: Bacterial small subunit ribosomal RNA
Source: RNAcentral